GUAGAAAUCACUUUUUUCCACAAAAAAUAAAAAUAAAAAUUGUAGGACCAGGAUUUGAUUUAAAAUUUUCAAUAGUGGGAGGACUUGUUCCCACAAAAGUUUAUAAUUUUUCUGGACAAAAAAUUUGAUGGGAAACAUAUGUUUUUUGUUGACAAAAAUAUUAAACUUCUUCGUGGGCUAAUAAUUAGCUGGAAAAUUUUUCUUUUUUUCUUUCAUUUUCCUUUCCUUUUCUUUCUUUUUCUUUUUCUUUUUCAUUUUCAUCUAUUUUCCUUUUGUUUUAUUUUUUCUUGUCUUCCCCACAUUUUAUUUUCUUCCCCAAAUUUCCUUUCUUCUUCUACUCUGCUUUGUUCCACCACCAAAUUACCGUCCCGCUGCCUUCAAUGAGACAUCAGCCAUCGAGCCCACUAAUCUAACGAACCAAUUCAGAUCCAGAGAAAGUCCAGAGGUAUGGUUUAUUAAUUUUUAUUUGUUGGGUUAUUACUGAUUUGUAGGGGAAUAUUGUGAAAUGCUAAUUGGGUUAUGUGGUUGCUAUAAAUUCGUUUAUUGGUUACUAUCAGUUCAUUUAUUGUGUUGUACGGGUAGAUCUAUCGGAAUAUCAUAGAUCUACGGUAAGAUUAAGGUUUAGACAUCGAAGCACCGUGGUAGCAUCAAUGCUGAACACGGCCCUGGGUUGAUGAAAGCCGACAAAAUUUAUUAUAGAAGGUCUCUUGAAUCUGUAAGGCUAACCUCAUUGCCGGUUCGUUAUUAAUGAACAUCUCGUUUGCAGAUUUAUGCUUUUCUUGAAUUUCAAAACAUUAUGUUAAUAAUGAAGGUCUCAUCUCGCUUUGGAUCGAUGAAAGCUGAUAAUUUUUUUCUGCAAUUUAAUGUAAUACUAUUAGCCCUAGUUUCCACCCGAGUUCUAAUAAAAUGAAACUGAAGAGAAAUACCAACUUUCUAUAGUAUGUGAAUAUCUCUAACUAGGUAGAGAAAUGGAAAAAAUUACUUCGGCAAAUUGAAGAAACUAAGUCAGCGACGCUUCUCUCCCUAAAAAAACUUGUGAUGACAAAUUGACAAUUUGAUUGAAAAUAUUAUGGCUUUGUUCUUUGCAUCCCCUUUUGGUUCUAGUUUUCAUUGAGUGCUUAUUAACAUGUUCCUCAUUUUGAAUAUCCUAUUUUAAAAUUAAAUAUUAAAUUUUUAGUUAAAAUUUUUUUGUAACAUUUACCUUUAUAAUCUUCAGCAUUGAACUAAUAUUGAAAUUGCUUGGUAGGUGACGAGGAAUAGUCAGAACCAAAUUAAGGGAAGAAGGGGGUUAACUUCUUCUCUUCCUCUGGCUCACAAAAUGGAGAUUUAGUCAACCAUUGAAAUUAUUACCACUUGCUCUGCUCCACAAUUCUAAUCUUGCUUAUAGGGUGGUAAAACUUCACAAACUAUAUUUUACUCGAUUUGACUAAAAAACGUUGAAAAUCUGCUAGAUCACUAAAAGGGGCUUCUAACAUGCAUUCUAGCAAGAAUUUCACAAGAGACCUCCAUAGAAAUUAUGCGUUCUUCUAGUGUAAAAGAGACUUUAAAGAAGGACUUUAGUUGAAGAAGUACACCUCAAAUAGUAAGAGGGCCUCGGUCAAAGAUAAGAGUCACGUAUAGCCCUUGUUUGAGAUUCUUCUAAAAAUUCAUUUUUUUAAAACUCAUUUUCAACCACACAAUCUUUAAUAAAAUAAUAUUACAUGCAAACCCAAAAUAUUUUCUUAAUUUUUAACCACACAUUCUUCAUUAAUCUAAUAUUUAAAAUUCAUUCUUUUGCCCAAAAUGGGGUUCAAACAAGAGCAUACAUGAACUUUUUCUGGAUGCCAAUAGUAUAUGUUUGUUGAAUGCAUACAUGUAUCCAUGAUAUUUGUAGGUUGCAUUGAAGCUUCUCACCUAUAUAAGAGGUAAAACUAUCAAUCCAAGAAGAAUCUAAAAUAUCUAUAGAGACAAUGUGAAAUUAGGUACUAAUUGCAUUCCACUUCCUCAAUUAUUUCAAUUGUACUUACAAAAUUUGGCUAUAUUACAUAAUAUAUUUUAUGAAUUUCAGACCCUCUUUACAAAGGCUUUAUAAAUUUUCAAGAAGCAUUAGAUGCAGCAAGACAGCAUAUAGGAAUAAAUUUUUAUUUAUCUCCUUCUUUAAAAAAUUACUCUGAUCGUCCAUUAGAUUUCUCUCCAAGUAAAGAUCAGAAUAUUUUUUGCCAACACUGUGAGUGUAUGCAAAGAAAUUAUAAAGUUAUUAAUGAAGCCAACCUUUCAUUAGAAAGAGCCAAACUCCAAAAAAAAGUAGCCCAACUUGAAAAAGAGAUUUUGGAUUUAAAAGUCCAAUAUCCAACAAGUACUAUAGAGCCCAAUAAGUCCAUAGCUAGUCCAGCUCAAACGGUAACUGGUAGAGACUUAUCAAAUUCGUUGAAGGUUGUGAACUUACCAAAAGUCCAACAGACUCAGGGGAUUGUUGAUUCCUCUACUAAAAUAGAUGAUCAGACUUAGCAGACUGAUAAAUUUGCUACAGAAAAGGGUAAAGAAAUUUGGGAUCUUUUAGGACAGCCUAGUAGAAAAUUUGAUUACUUAGUUAAAUAUAGUCCACCAGAACAUUUUUCAUUAGAACAUUUUUCAAAUAAUCCAGAUCUUUUACAAGCCUAAGAAAUUUAUUCUAGUAAAGGAAAGGAAAAAAAUGGUUGCCCAAGAUAGUCAAGAUUGUUUAUUUUUUCAAGAAGCACAAGACCCCAAUCCAGGCACUGUUUCUUUAGAAAAGAUUUUUGAAAAAAUUGAAGAAUUUCAGAGACAAUCCAAAAGAGAAGAAGGAACUUCUUCAAAAAGGAAGAAAAAUAUUAAGAAGAAGAAAAAUGAAGAAAGAUUAAAAGAACAAAUUAAAGAAGCAGUAAAUCAAGCAUUUAAGAUAAUUUUAAAAAAGAAUUAUGAAGAAGAAAAAGAAAUUGCAGAAUGUCCAGAUCAAAAGGAAAAAGAUGAAACUAAUCAUUCAAGACUUUCAGAAGAAGAUGAAGAUCCACAGAACAAAUGAUACAAUAAUUCAGACAGUGGAAUAUCAUUUUCAUUAGUGGCACGCCAUAAUCUUGAUACAUGAUAAGAUUCUCAAUAAUACAGAACAAGACAAUUUUUGGUGGAAGAGAAGAAAAGGUUGAAGAAUUUUUUAUCACUAGAUUGUAGACUUUUUGACUAAAUUUCAUUAUUAUAAAAGAUGUCAGAACUUUUUGAAAAGAAAGAUUACCACUUAAAUUUUUAGACACAUGUUAUAUUUUUUAUUGGCCAGAAGCUUCUCGGUGAAGUGAGUGCCUUUUCCAUUAAGGAUAGUUUAGACUUUUUGCUCCCAAGAAUUUUUCUAUUUAAAGAGACAGUUUCAUUUGGUUUAGGCAGAAGUUUACAACCUAUGUACUCUCUGCUAUCUAAAAAACCUUUGAAACCUCUCCUCCAAAAAAAUUCUCAAUCCAAAAACUAUUGUAUAUCUGAAGUCCUUGUGAAUAUUUUAAGGUACUCUUGUUUUCUUUAGUUUAUUUUAGAACUUUAGGGACUUCUCGAAAGGGAAAUCCUUAGUUGUAAAUCUUUUAAAGAUGAAUUUAUAAAUCCCUGAUUGAUGUUUUACUUCUUAAUUUUUAUAUUCAUGUUUUUCUUGAAGUAAAUAUUUGUUAUAUUUCUCAUUUCAUCCUAUGCAUAUAAUAAAAGUAUAACUUGAUUUUUAGAAGCCAUACUGUUUUUAGGUUAAUUCUGAGUGACCCAGAUAAGUGAAAACUUUUGACCGGAGUAAGCCUCUUGAUGUUUUCUAGAGAUGUUGGGGAAAGGGAUAAAUUAAUCUAAGAAUUUUAUAAGGGGGUGUCACGGGUAACCUUAUAAAAAGAAAUCAGGUUCAAGUUUAUAUGUCAUAGGUGGUGAAAAAAAAAAGGAUUUGUAUAUGAUUCUAAGAAAAGAUUUAUAGAAAACUAAGGAGAGUACUGAGUAGGAUUAAAGUUGUUAAAAAGUAAAAAAGCAGCAAAUAAACAGUAGUAAAACUAAAACAGUAGUAAAUUAAAACAGUAGUAAAACUUAAACAGCCUACGCCCCCAUUUGGUAUCCCAACAAAAGUCUUGCAUUAUUUUCCUAUAAUAUCAAGACUUAAGAGGAUGUUUGGAAUAUAUGAGAUGUCAAUACAACUUAGAUGACACUCAAGUAAUAGUUCAGACGGUAAGAUUAGGCAUCCGAUUGAUUCAUUUAGUUGGGGAAUGAUUAACAACAGGUGGCCACAUUUUGCAUCCGAUGCUUGAAAUUUUAGAUUAGGUCUUGCUUACUUAUGGAUUUAAUCAUUUCAAAGCUCUUAGCUUUAAAUACAAUGUUGGCUAGUAAUCUUAACUAUAUAUAAGUUGCCUUCCUCAAUUUGUAUGUCAAAGGAAAGUUAGAUUUUGAGUUUAUUGAUCCCGUGAUCGAAACAACGAGGUACUGACAUAGAUGUUUAUUUGGCACCACUUGUAGACGACUUAAUGUUGUUAUGGAGUGAUGAGGUUGAUGUGUAUGGUGCAGCUACAAAGUCAACUUAAAAGAUAAUUUGAUGUGGACAAUAUAUGACUUUCUUGCAUAUGGAAAUAUAUCUGGGUGGCUCGUCAAAGGAAAAAUUGUAUGCCCUAUUUGUCGUGAAAAUAUAUGUUCACUAUGGUUGAAACAUGGUAGGAAGUUUGCUUACAUGGGACAUAAAAGAUUUCUCGCUUUUGAUCAUCCAUUUCGCAUGAAAAGGAGAUGGUUUAAUGGACGUGUUGAACAUGGUAUUAGGUCGAAGAUAAAAAAUGGUGAAGAGGAUUCUAUUGAUGUUGAUAAAAUUACAAAUGAUUGGGGAAAAUUGGUAAACAAAAAAAGGAAGAAGAAUACAACUCAAUCUAAUGUAACGUGGAAAAGAAUGUCAAUAUUUUUCGAUCUACCAUGUUGGAAGGUAAUUAUUGUAAUAUUUCCUUUAUUUUUAUUUAAAUACUUCUAAUUGUGUUUAGUUCUUCAUGACUUCAUUGAUGUUUGAUUUGCAGACUUUACUUGUACAUCAUAAUUUGAAUGUGAUGUAUGUGGAGAAGAAUAUUUGUAAUAGCAUCAUUAGUACGCUUCUGGGUGUCAAAGGAAAUCUAAAGAUGGUAUUAACUCUCGCAAGGAUGUGGAAAAAAUAAACAUUAGGCAUGAUUUACAUCUUUAGAGUAGAGGAAAUAAAUUCUAUCUGCCAGCUGCUCCUCACACCUUAUCAAAAGCAGAAAAACAAUUUUUUUGCGGAAGACUUGCUAACUUGAGAUUUCCCAGUGGUUAUGGAUCUAAUAUUGAAAAUUGCGUAUCAAUGGAAGAAUGUAAGAUAUUGGGCUAAAGUAUCAUGAUUGUCACAUUUUAAUGCAACAAUUAUUAUCAAUUGCGUUAAGAUGACUUCUACCUAAAGGACAAAGGAACUAUAUUUUUAAAUUGAUUUCAUUUUUCAAGGAAAUAUGUCAAGGAAUUAUAGAUAAAUAUAAGAUUGAACAAUUAGAGAUGGAUAUUUUCGAAACUUUAUGCAUGUUGGAAAGGUAUUUCCCGCCUUCCUUGUUUUGAUACAAUGGUUCAUUUGACAGUCCAUAUUAGGAGAGAAGUUCGUCUAUGUGGACCAGUACAAAGUAGUGGGAAAGUUAGAGAAAUUGAAAGCCAAUUACAAACUCAGGCACAAAGGGUGGGGGCACUAGAAGAAAAUAGUGGAAGCACCUCUCAAGUUAUCUCAGCAAAGGACAUUUUAUACAUACUAUAAUAAUAUAGCCUAAUAUAGCCAAUUACAUGUAGAAUAACUUUUGUAAUUUAUGUAACAUUUUACAGAAUGUAUAGGACAGGAAUUCAAUUGCUUUUCCUCCUUAGGUUUUUGUAUCCUACAUUAUUAAAUGUUUAUUCAAUAUAUAUUCAAUAUGUAGCAUUCUAGUUUUAAAAAGAAUAUUUUCUUUUUACUAUGAAUUUGUAGUCACACCAAGGAAGUGGUGUUCAAAGAAGUAUUGCACAUAUGACAAAUGUAAGAUGUUAACUAUUGCAUUGGUACAUGUUUGAGGAAUAAGAAGUCAUAACAGAAGGGAAAAUUGCAAUAACAGACCCAAGUGCAAAUGUACAUUACUUGCCACUUGGUCGAGACUGUUGGAAGGUUUGGGUUGAGGAAGUAAAUAUGGGUAAUUGGACCUUAUACAGACCUAUAGAUGGAUUUCGAACCCUCAGUGAAGCCAUGGGAAGUAUUGUUGCUUGGCCAAAGAGCAGUAUUAGACUUCUUUGAUUAUGGUAUGUUUUCUGGAUUUAUUACAUAUACGCGUGAAUCUGUUUCCAUUUUCAAGUCAUAGGGACUAGUUUUUUGACAGAUGUGUGAGAGAUGAAAAGUAUAAGCAUGUAAAAGGGAACUUUGUGUAUCCUUCUUAUUUAGGUUGUGGUGAAGAUGCCAAAAGUUGUUUGGAGACUGCAAGAAGUUUGUAAAAUUGGUGUGUUUGUAUCUAUGUGAAUACAGAUGUGAGAGUAGGACUUGAUAUACCACAUUUUCUGUGGAUUCUUUUCUGAUUUUGAAUGAGUGUCAAUGUUGCAUGGAACAAUCGUGACCAUGUUAAGCCACAGGUUGCUAGUGUGUAUGUGUGUGUAUUAAUAGGUUGAAAUUUUUCCAAAUGUAUUAACAGGUUGGCCCCUAUUUAUGUCCCAUUUCUACCCCUAUUUCACUACCUUUGUGCACAGCUUUUACUGGGUUUUGAGUACUCCUUUGUGGUCCAUUUGAGUGGUCAAUUUUUUUCAAAUUUGUAUGGUGUUGCUAUGUGAUUUUUAGCUCUUCACCUAAGCCUCGAUUAACUUUUGGGUGCCAAUUGUUUGGAGCUUUUGAUAGGAAAGUUGAUUUCCAAUUUAUUGUGAUUAUUUCCUUUAUAUGUAGUUAACUUAGUUUGUGUUUAUUAAAUGGUUGAUAGGCAUAUUUAUCACAACAAUUGGUAUCGGAGCCCCGUUUUAGGCUACUGUAGUGGCUAAUUUUUCUAUCUCUGAGCCGGAAUUAAUAUAUAGUAAAUUGAAUGUAUUUUCAUGGUGCAAUUGAAGCGUGUGUUUGCUGAUUUUGCAAUAAGGACUUGAAUCCUUAAUUAAUUUCGCAACUCUUGUAGCUACCGACCACCAACGGGUCCGCUUUGAUAAAUUGGCUAUGACUCUUUAAAUUUUUACAAUAGCAAGUCAUUGUGGGGAGGUCACUAAUAUAAUUUCAGCCAUGCUUGAUACUGGGUAUUAUAGGACUAUUUGCCUAAAUUGUGAUGUUAUCUUUUUUGUGGCUUUAUUGAUGGUUGAGUAAUUUCGUAUUGCCACUGAACCACUAAAAAUUGAUCUGCUUUUGCAUCUUUUUGGUUUUACUUUGUUUAUUAUUACUAGAGAACGGAAUAGUUAUGGCUUCGAAGGCACCAAGUUGGGUAGAUCAAUGGGGUGCAUGAGGAAUUGGUGCAAUGGAAAAUGAGAAUACUUUACAGCAACAGAGAAGUGGGCACAAUAGCCAUUUUAAUGUGUUGUUUAAUAUAGAAUAUACAAUGCUCACCUCCUUUUCCAAAUCUCUUUUUGGUGGUACAUGUUGUUUCAUAAUUAUAUUUUGGUGGUACAUGUUUUAAUUUUAUUUUGAAAAAUAGAAUGUGUUGAACAUUUUACAAGUUUUUUAUGGGAAUUAUUAGUUUAUUAUUCGAAUUGUUC
Molecule: long non-coding RNA, 7653 nt
Filed under: Olea europaea subsp. europaea
Lineage: Eukaryota; Viridiplantae; Streptophyta; Magnoliopsida; Lamiales; Oleaceae
Source: RNAcentral